This 1491-nucleotide ribosomal RNA is filed under the name Rhodospirillales bacterium. Its description in RNAcentral is "bacterial SSU rRNA". It matches the Rfam family "Bacterial small subunit ribosomal RNA". The record is from RNAcentral. Lineage: Bacteria; Pseudomonadati; Pseudomonadota; Alphaproteobacteria; Rhodospirillales.
CAAACUUGAGAGUUUGAUCCUGGCUCAGAACGAACGCUGGCGGCAGGCCUAACACAUGCAAGUCGAACGAACCUUCGGGUUAGUGGCGCACGGGUGAGGAACACGUGGGAAUAUACACUUCGGUGCGGAACAACGUCUGGAAACGGACGCUAAUACCGCAUAAUGACUCCGGUCCAAAGAUUUAUCGCCGAAGAAUUAGCCCGCGUCUGAUUAGUUUGUUGGUGGGGUAACGGCCUACCAAGACGACGAUCAGUAGCUGGUCUGAGAGGAUGAUCAGCCACACUGGUACUGAGACACGGACCAGACUCCUACGGGAGGCAGCAGUGAGGAAUAUUGCGCAAUGGGGGCAACCCUGACGCAGCCAUGCCGCGUGAGUGAAGAAGGCCUUAGGGUUGUAAAGCUCUUUCAAUGGCGAAGAUGAUGACGGUAACCAUAGAAGAAGCCCCGGCUAAAUUCGUGCCAGCAGCCGCGGUAAUACGAAUGGGGCGAGCGUUGUUCGGAAUCACUGGGCGUAAAGCGUAUGUAGGUGGUCAAGAAAGUCGGGAGUGAAAUCCCAGGGCUUAACCCUGGAACUGCUUCCGAAACUCCUUGACUAGAGUCCCGGAGGGGCCAGCGGAAUUCCGAGUGUAGAGGUGAAAUUCGCAGAUAUUCGGAGGAACACCAGUGGCGUAGGCGGCUGGCUGGACGGGAACUGACACUGAGAUACGAAAGCGUGGGGAUCAAACAGGAUUAGAUACCCUGGUAGUCCACGCCGUAAACGAUGUGUGCUAGUUGUUGGGGGCCACAGGUCUUCAGUGACGCAGCCAACGCAUUAAGCACACCGCCUGGGGAGUACGGUCGCAAGAUUAAAACUCAAAGGAAUUGACGGGGACCCGCACAAGCGGUGGAGCAUGUUGUUUAAUUCGAAGCAACGCGAAGAACCUUACCUACCCUUGACAUACCUCUCGGGGAUUACAGAGAUGUUUUCCUUCGGUUCGGCCGGAGAGUGUACAGGUGCUGCAUGGCUGUCGUCAGCUCGUGUCGUGAGAUGUUGGGUUAAGUCCCGCAACGAGCGCAACCCUUAUCGUAUGUUACCAGCAUUUAGUUGGGGACUCAUGCGAGACUGCCGGUGAUAAGCCGGAGGAAGGCGGGGACGACGUCAAGUCAUCAUGGCCCUUACGGGUAGGGCUACAAACGUGCUACAAUGGGAGUGACAGUGGGCAGCGAGGUCGCGAGGCCGGGCUAAUCCCUAAAAGCUCUCUCAGUUCGGAUUGUACUCUGCAACUCGAGUGCAUGAAGUUGGAAUCGCUAGUAAUCGUGGAUCAGCAUGCCACGGUGAAUACGUUCCCGGGUCUUGUACACACCGCCCGUCACAUCAUGGGAGUUGGUUUUACCUGAAGGCCGUGUGCUAACUUCGGAGGCAGCGGACCACGGUAGGAUCAGCGACUGGGAUGAAGUCGUAACAAGGUAGCCGUAGGGGAACCUGCGGCUGGAUCACCUCCUUUCUAAGGA